GACGAACGGCUGGCGGCGUGGAUUAGGCAUGCAAGUCGAACGGUAGGAUACCUUCGGGUAUCUGAGAGUGGCGAACGGGUGAGUAACACGUAGGUGAUCUACCCUCAAGAUUGGGACAACCCAGGGAAACUUGGGCUAAUACCGGAUGAAAGCAGCAGUGAUGUUGUUUGAAGGGUGGCGUAAGCUGCCGUUUGGGGAUGAGCCUGCGCUCUAUUAGUUAGUUGGCGGGGUAAAGGCCCACCAAGGCGAUGAUAGAUAGGCGGCCUUAACGGGUGGUCGCCCACACUGGGAUUGAGAUACGGCCCAGACUCCUACGGGAGGCAGCAGUCGAGAAUAGUCUACAAUGGCCGAAAGGCUGAUAGUGCGACGCCGCGUGAACGAAGAAGCCCUUCGGGGUGUAAAGUUCUUUUAUAUGUGAGCAGUGCUUUCUAUGUGAACAGCAUGGGGAGAGAGAUAUUAGCAUAUGAAUAAGCAACGGCUAACUCCGUG
RNAcentral lists this ribosomal RNA (489 nucleotides) under uncultured bacterium. RNAcentral's name for it is "bacterial SSU rRNA". It matches the Rfam family "Bacterial small subunit ribosomal RNA", at positions 35 to 507 of the family's 1533-position model. The record is from RNAcentral.